This 258-nucleotide long non-coding RNA is filed under the name Capsella rubella. RNAcentral describes it as "long non-coding RNA (CRUB_LNC001178)". The record is from RNAcentral. Lineage: Eukaryota; Viridiplantae; Streptophyta; Magnoliopsida; Brassicales; Brassicaceae.
UUUAGAAUAGGAAAAUGCUCAAUUAUAUCAUUACUUAAAUUAUAUGGAAAUAAACAUCAAACUUUUUGAAAAAAAAAAAACAUCAAAUUAGGAAAUUUUCUGUAAGAAAAAAAAGAUAUUCUUAAAUCUAAAAAAAUCAAAAACAUAUAUUAUUUUUCAUUUUAAAAAAAAAACUCUUCUCAUUUAAUAUUGUAAAAAGGUAAAAAAAACCAAAGAUAGACUCGACGAUGUCAAAAUUUUCUGAAAAAUAAAAACUUC